GGCGGACAUGCAGAGACUUUCAGAGAUCCAUUGGGUNNUNACGGGAACUCUGAUCACAGGNGCUGCAUUUAUGUCGUCAGCUCGUGUCGUGAGAUGUUGGGUUAAGUCCCGUACCCGAGCGCAAUUCCUUGUCCUUAGUUAGCCAGCACGUUAUGGUGGGACACUCUAAGGAGACUGCCGGUGACAAACCGGAGGAAGUGUGGGGAUGACGUCAAGUCAUCAUGGCCCUUACGGCCUGGGCUACACACGUGCUACAAUGGUCGGUACAGAGGGUUGCCAAGCCGCGAGGUGGAGCUAAUCUCAUUUUUUACCGAUCGUAGUCCGGAUCGCAGUCUGCAACUCGACUGCGUGAAGUCGGAAUCGCUAGUAAUCGCGAAUCAGAAUGUCUGCGGUGAAUACG
This 400-nucleotide ribosomal RNA is filed under the name uncultured bacterium. RNAcentral describes it as "bacterial SSU rRNA". It matches the Rfam family "Bacterial small subunit ribosomal RNA", at positions 977 to 1370 of the family's 1533-position model. The record is from RNAcentral.